Molecule: ribosomal RNA, 301 nt
Filed under: uncultured bacterium
Lineage: Bacteria
Description: partial 16S ribosomal RNA
Rfam family: Bacterial small subunit ribosomal RNA
Source: RNAcentral
CAGCCGCCGCGGUAAUACGAAGGGUGCAAGCGUUACUCGGAAUUACUGGGCGUAAAGCGUGCGUAGGUGGUGGUUUAAGUCCGUUGUGAAAGCCCUGGACUCAACCUGGGAAUUGCAGUGGAUACUGGAUCACUAGAGUGUGGUAGAGGAUAGUGGAAUUUCCGGUGUAGCAGUGAAAUGCGUAGAGAUCGGAAGGAACAUCUGUGGCGAAGGCGACUAUCUGGGCCAACACUGACACUGAGGCACGAAAGCGUGGGGAGUAAACAGGAUUAGAUACCCCCGUAGUCCCUGUCUCUUAUAA